Molecule: ribosomal RNA, 253 nt
Filed under: uncultured bacterium
Lineage: Bacteria
Description: partial 16S ribosomal RNA
Rfam family: Bacterial small subunit ribosomal RNA
Source: RNAcentral
UACGUAGGGUGCGAGCGUUGUCCGGAAUUAUUGGGCGUAAAGGGCUCGUAGGCGGUCUGUCACGUCGGGAGUGAAAACUCAGGGCUUAACCCUGAGCCUGCUUCCGAUACGGGCAGACUAGAGGUAUGCAGGGGAGAACGGAAUUCCUGGUGUAGCGGUGAAAUGCGCAGAUAUCAGGAGGAACACCGGUGGCGAAAGCGGCUUCCUGGUCCAGCACCGACGUUCAGGCACGAAAGCGUGGGGAGCAAACAGG